GACGAACGCUGGCGGCGUGCUUAACACAUGCAAGUGGAGCGACGAACCAGGCUUCGGCCUGGGGCAGAGCCGCGAACGGGUGAGUAACACGUGGGUAACCUGCCUCGAUGACCGGGACAACCCGGGGAAACCCGGGCUAAUACCGGAUGUGCUGCCCUCACAUCAGUGAGGGUUGGAAAGGAAGCUUCGGCCUCCGCAUCGAGAUGGGCCCGCGGCCCAUUAGCUUGUUGGUGAGGUAAAGGCUCACCAAGGCUGCGAUGGGUAGCUGGUCUGAGAGGACGAUCAGCCACACUGGGACUGAGACACGGCCCAGACUCCUACGGGAGGCAGCAGCAAGGAAUCUUGGGCAAUGGACGAAAGUCUGACCCAGCGACGCCGCGUGAGGG
RNAcentral lists this ribosomal RNA (386 nucleotides) under uncultured bacterium. RNAcentral describes it as "bacterial SSU rRNA". It matches the Rfam family "Bacterial small subunit ribosomal RNA", at positions 28 to 407 of the family's 1533-position model. The record is from RNAcentral.